CAUUAGCUCUGUUCCAGGACGUUAAUUUCCGUAGCUCGCAAUGUAAAACGCCAUUGACCAAAUCCUCACUGUCUGUACUGUAGUGACCACCCUUAAUUUAGUUAAGUUACUCAUUGAAGGAAAGACUGUUACAGCUAUGAUCUCCAUUCGCAAAGUUUUAACACAAAAAUUCAUUAACCCUUGCUCACACACGCCAGAUUUCUUCCAGUUGGAACCGACAAAGUCCGUAUGGGUGCUUGAAAUCCUUGAAAAUGCUUGAAUUUUAAUGUGGAAUUGUCAGGGAUUGAAAAGUGCUUAAUUGCUCAUAGUAAAUAGCGGGGCCUGUGACACAUUUUGAAAUUUGAGGCUUUGUUUUAAUUUUCUCCCUUCUGUAGAAUGCUCUCAUUAAACAUGAUUUUUGUUGUUCAAUAGCGCAGUAACAUCUGAUUUAACGGGAUGAAGUGACAUCAUUUUGAGCAGCUGUAAUUAGCCAUAAGGUGCUGGAAAAGCUUGAAAUGCACCUUUAAAUGCUUGAAAACUGCUUGAAUUUGAUUUAAGAAAAGGCGUAGGAGCCCUGAACAGAGCAAACACAUUUUUCCCUGUUGUUUGUUGUUUGUUGUUGUUUCCCUUGUUUUGUCCAAGUACUAUUGUCUUACUUUUGCUCUGUUUUUAAGGAAAAGCAUCCUGAAAUAUUGUCUAGUAUUUGCUCCACAAAGACUGCCAUUGUUAGCAUUGUCUGUCAUGAUUCAGAAAAAGUCUUUACUUCAGUGAGUAACGUAAUUAUAUUAAAGGAAGUCACUAAAGUACAGACAGUUACAAUUUGACACUUUGCAUUUUUUUUUUUACAUUUUACAUUUUACAUUUUACAUUUUACAUUUUACAUCCCUGGUAGGGCGUUAGUGGGGCUAGGCUAACAACAGGGAAAGGUUAUUAUAAUCAAUUAAAACGAAACGAAAAACUUGAACUAGGUAUGAAAAAAAAAUAACGUAACUUAAUUUUAAUUAAAAAUUAAAAUUACGUAAUUAAUUUUAAUUAAAAUACAAAUACAAAUACACAGAGAAUGUCUUUAGUUUAAGUCUUGGUCAAUUUGGCCAAAUAUCACCAUAACCAGCAUGAGUUUUGGUUUGCUGCUGAUGUUUACUGAGACUGGGAUGUCGACAUGACAGUCAGCUGCCUUCACAAAGUGUUGCAUUUGGAUUAGAAAACCUUUUCUGAACUUCUUAAAUCUAGACCCUAACAAAUACCCCAAAUAUUAUAAAAAAACUAAAACUAAUACUGAAACUAAUAAAAAAAAAAAAUAACAUUUUUAAACAAUAAAAACUAAACUGAAACAAGCAAACCCCUCUGGAAACUACCUGAACUUAAACUAAAUUGAAAGCAAAAAUUAAAAGCGAAAUAAA
Myripristis murdjan (pinecone soldierfish) is the source of this 1379-nucleotide long non-coding RNA. RefSeq lists it as uncharacterized. The record is from RefSeq and is a predicted model, not a curated record. Lineage: Eukaryota; Metazoa; Chordata; Actinopteri; Holocentriformes; Holocentridae. The transcript has 2 exons.